Molecule: transfer RNA, 76 nt
Filed under: Eubacterium sp.
Lineage: Bacteria; Bacillati; Bacillota; Clostridia; Eubacteriales; Eubacteriaceae
Description: tRNA-Lys
Rfam family: tRNA
About the family: Transfer RNA (tRNA) molecules are approximately 80 nucleotides in length. Their secondary structure includes four short double-helical elements and three loops (D, anti-codon, and T loops). Further hydrogen bonds mediate the characteristic L-shaped molecular structure. tRNAs have two regions of fundamental functional importance: the anti-codon, which is responsible for specific mRNA codon recognition, and the 3' end, to which the tRNAs corresponding amino acid is attached (by aminoacyl-tRNA synthetases). tRNAs cope with the degeneracy of the genetic code in two manners: having more than one tRNA (with a specific anti-codon) for a particular amino acid; and 'wobble' base-pairing, i.e. permitting non-standard base-pairing at the 3rd anti-codon position.
Source: RNAcentral
GGUUUAUUAGCUCAGAUGGCAGAGCACUUGACUUUUAAUCAAGGUGUCCGGGGUUCGAUUCCCCGAUAAGCCACCA